ACCGAGCUCACAUCAAACACGAGGGCCAAGGAUGGACCGCGGUCAAGGGCGAUGCUGGCGCCCCCUGACGUCUGAGCUCAGGGAGGCAGGAUGGUGACCCCAUGCCCCCUGGGAGGAUUUGCGUUUUGAACUGGACCUGAGCAGGAACCCAGGCGAACAUCAGUUUGGACAGAACUCGUAGACCACGAAGGUGACCGUCUGCCAGCCUCACGGCCGUGACGCUGCAAGGAGACGAGAGACCCGCAUCAGUGGAGGGACCGGGCUGCCACCUGCCUGCUCGUUCAGGCCCCUCCCCUCUGCACCGGACGGGGCGUCCCCAGAGCCAGUCCCCGGGGGACUCUGAGACCCUGGAAACAUAAGGUUGGUAGAAGCCACAGUGGCAGGAGUGGUCCAGGACAGAGCGACUUGUCCCCACCCCGAGGCUACUUCGGAACUUGUGACCUUCCUGAUCAGAACACCCAAAGCCUCCGGGACGGGCCCAGGAGUCUGACCAGCUGAAUGCAGCUCCCCCACCCGGAAGGAGGCCUGGCCCCUCCGCAGGGUCCCGGCCUCAGGGGGCUGAAUGAGUUACAAUGUAACCUCGUUUGCAAAAGCUUUCAAUUCUUCAAGAUCCCUCCCUUUAAAAACAAAAGCUUUUGACUCCUGCGUUACUGAGAAGGGGAAUGAGGGAGGGAGUUAAACGUAGCUAGAGGAGUUCCUGUCGUGGCGCAGCAAAAAACGAAUCCGACUAGGGACCAUGAGGUUGCGGGUUCCAUCCCUGGCCUCGCUCGGUGGGUUAAGGAUUGGUGCUGCCAUGAGCUGUGGUGUAGGCCGAAGACACGGCUCAGAUCCCGCGUGGCUGUGCUGUGGUGUAGGCCAGUGGUACAGCUCCGAUUCGACCCCUGGUCUAGGGACCUCCACAUGCCGUGGUGUGGCCCUAAAAAGACAAAAGACAAAAAAUGUUAAGAAGCAGAGAAGGGGGCGGGGAUGUUGCAAGUGAGAAAUUUCCCAGCGGAGGUUGGUUGAGAGGUUUUAAAAGAAAUAGGCUCAAUUUUGUUUUAGUUUUGGUGUUACUCCCUGAAUCUUCAAUAAAAGUCUACUCAAAAAAAUAAAAGUAUCUCCCACCUG
This 1107-nucleotide long non-coding RNA is filed under the name Sus scrofa (pig). RNAcentral's name for it is "lncRNA (ENSSSCG00000062234.1)". The record is from RNAcentral. Lineage: Eukaryota; Metazoa; Chordata; Mammalia; Artiodactyla; Suidae.